Molecule: long non-coding RNA, 4036 nt
Organism: Notothenia coriiceps (black rockcod)
Lineage: Eukaryota; Metazoa; Chordata; Actinopteri; Perciformes; Nototheniidae
Exons: 2
Source: RefSeq, a predicted model, not a curated record
GCUUUUCCCAGUUACAAAAGAGUUUUAAUGUAAUGUCUUUACAAUGACUAUCCCUCCUUAUGUAAACUGUGGAUGAUGAAACAACCAGAAUAAGUUUGGGAAACAAAACCCCUUAUGUGCUCUGUUGGUGGCAGUUGAUACGCUCUGAAGAAAAUGGUUUCUCCUGGUUGUACUUUGGACAGUGGGGGGUUGAUACGUUGUUUCUUAAAACUUGAACUAUAACUUGUACUUUCUUUGGAAACACAUCUUGAAGGUUUUACUGAGUUAUCUAAAUUAAUUAAUUUGAAAUUCAGGCUUUCCUAAAUUGUUUAACUGCCAUAAAGCUGACUAGAAACCCAGAAAAACACACAACUGUUGCAAUGGUCAAACUAAUGUUGGCAGUAUGAUCCAGUGUGCACACACACACUCAGGUAUGGCAGGCAUGGAUAAUGUUGCAGGCGUGCGGGGAAUGCCCGGCCUGUGAGGGCUGCAGCUGACAGCUGUCACCUCCUCUGUCAAGAUCAGCCCAUCUCUUCCCAGGCUUUCAUCUCCCUGUCUCUCACUCUCACACACUCACUCAAAUGUAUCUCCUCAACUUUCUCUCUCACACUCUUUCUCACUACAUGUGUAUUUGUUUGCACGCUCACACAUUAAUACCACUGGCACACAGUGGUAUUGGUCUAUUAUGUUACUUCACAUUAUAGGCACACCCUGUUGUCUUAGUAAACAGUCCGUCCUGCUGAUAUCGGGUUAUUCUUUAAAGCAUUACUUAUCGACACGUCAGAGUCCAAAGUAACACUCUGCAGGGUCACUAGCUAUCUGAGCCACUUAAAUUUCACCCGAUAGGCCUUUUGCUUCACUCUCAUACACUUGAAUUGAACCAUAUUUACAACUGAAGCUUUAUUUCUUCAAAACCAAACAGUAACGAUGAUUUUAAAGCAGACUACAAGAUGGCAAAAAGGAAGGAAUCCUCUCACUCGGCUAUAAUAGCAAUAUACAUAGCCCUUUAUCAUUUAUAUGUGGGUGGGUGUUUUCUUUUCUUAAUGUUGGGUCGUCCGUCUUCUCCACUUGUUUGUCUUGUCCCUGCCACAUUCCUGAUUAUAGUUGUAAAUUGAAAGCGAGUUUAUUAAAAAUCAGUAGACCAUGACAACUCCUCUGAUCACUGGGCACAGGAAAGGAAUGUCUCAAUUUGGGAGGUAACUAAAAUUGCUUUUUAAAAUACAGAUCAGAAUGAAUAGAAGGUCAUACAAGUUAAGUUUCAGAAGAAAGUAAACGUCACAUUUUAAUGUCAGGAAUAUCAGCUCAGGUUUUUUCUGAAUGUAUUUUCCCAAUGUUUUAGAAAACAGCAUAUGCUUUCAUAUUUUGUGCAUUUAUUUAAACAUAGCUUACGUCAACAUGAAUUAUAGUUUAACAAAGGGUAGUUAGUUCCUAUGGACGCUGAGGCGAUCAGUGCAUAAUGUAUUUAAAAUUCCUGUCAUACACAUUUGAUGAGCUACAGUUAAAUGGGAUUAAUACAGCACUUAUUUGGAAACUUCUGACACCUCUGAAUAUAUUAUGCCUUUUACAUCUAUGAGCUAUAUCAACUCCAAAAUGUAGGAAAGGAGAAGGGGUGUAUGCCAGACCAUGCAGUGGUUAAAGAAAUAUUAAAACAUGUUUUAACAGAUCUUACACUAAUGAAGACGAUGCUGGUUGAAACAUGUCGGCUCUUUCAUUUUCCUGCCAGAUGAGUCCCAUUCUAGACUCUCCUUUUAUCUUUAUUGGAUAUCGCUCAAUUUCUGCUUUGCCAGAUAUACACAGAAAUAUAAAAAUGGUUCCAUCAAACAACACCGUGGCUUCAGAAAGAGCUGCGGCAGAGGCUGCUGUUUGAUGGUGGGAUGUGGAUUUCAAAGCAGUAUCUUGACCAUACCUUCUGAAUGUGGUAUUUACCCUUAGUCUGCCUUUUUGAGUAGGAGUGUGUGUGUUACUAUACUUGCAUAAUUCAAAGAGAUAAAGUGUGUGACAGGUAGAGAUGAGGAUGAAAAAGGGAUGUGACAUGCCCAUGGACUGCUGUUAACUGUGCUGCUGUGUGUUUCAGAUGAAAAUGUUCAGGAGAUGGCUGAAGAGUUGGUGCAGCUGGGCUUAAUCAGUGAGGUGGACCAAAACAAAAUAGCCUCCCUACUAGAAGAAUCCUUCAGCCAAGCUCUUCAAUAGCAACGAUUUCCUCCACGAAAUACCUGUCCCCUCAUUAGUACACUCUCUUAACCCUGUUACAUCUUCUGUUUGGUUACUCAACAUGGUGAUUACAUUAAGUGGGGUUUUUGUAUUUUUGUUCUUCUAAGCCUUAGGUGAAAAUGUGACCAAAAGGGUGGGUUCUCUUCCUCUGCAUCAGGGAAUCAAACCUCCCCAAAGCACAGAAAACCUUUAACAUGCUGUCAAGCUAAUUUCAGAGUCCAGUUUACUCCAAAGAAGCUCCCUGGACUGAUAUCACAUUUUAGCUGUAAAAGUUAAGAACCAUUUAAAUCUAUAUGAGAGGAUUUAUUCUGAAUGUGUUAGCUUUUACAUUGGCUGUUAAAUGUUAACCUCAUGAAUGCUGCAAAAGACACUUCAUCACACCAGUGCUGACUAGAUUACUUACAGCUUUAAAGUCAAAACCACUUUCUCCAAGCCGCAGAUGUAUUUUAUUGUGAGGUGUUUACAUAACGAAUUGCCUGUUUGUGUUAGGAUGAGACGGGCUAAAACGCCAUCAAGUCUAAUUUAAAUAUUCACGAGUCACUCCACCUUUCACUACUGUUGUACUUAUAAACUUUAAUGAUCUCUAACCUAUAGCACCCCUAACAAGCCAAGCCGUUCUCCCCCCUCAUUUCAUGUGAAUCCCCCUCUCAUUUUGUUUUGCCUUAUGAUUUAUGAACAUUCCCGGCUCUUUGAUUUUUGUGUUGUGGUUUUUUACCAACAUGUCACCUAUCAGGUUAAAUAUAUAUAAGAGUUUGAAAACUGGAUGUGCAGAGAUGCAACUUUUUCAGAUAACUUAAUAAUUGACCUAUACCCAUGAUAAAUAUUUGAGAAGCCUUUGAUACAUAACAUAUUGUAUGUGCACAGCUGGAUAUUACAUUUUGGGUGGGCAUCAUGAUGCCAGAUGUCUCUGGAUGAUGGUUACUUUGAGGUACUGUGAACUCAGUGUUACUGAAUUUUCCGUUUGUGUGUUUGUUUUUAUAUUUUGCUCUACUGUUUGCCUUAUGCUGGGCCUACGCACAUGCCUUAAAGUCCUCUUUUCUCUGUUUGUUUUUAUUAUUUUAUUCAUCAUUUUACCAUUUGCUGCUUGUUGGGUUCACACAUGCUCCUCUGCCUGUAAAAUUCAUUCAUGUGAGACUUGUGUACUGAACUCGGCUGCCAUAUGCUGUAAAAAAGAGGACCUAGCCUUUUCCUGAUACAUCUAUGUGAGAGCGUCAAGAUUUAUUUAUGUUACAGACACUGUAUAGCAUGUCUUUUUCUUAUUUCUUUUUUGUUUACUGUGAUUAACACAGAGACCACAUUGAUGAGAGUCUGAGCCAAUAUACACUUCUAUUGCUUGAUUUCAUUUGAUCACCAUUUGGUUAAACUGGGACUUAGAGGGUUGAUUUUCCUUCACAGAGUGCAGAGGCACCUACACUUGAAUACAAAAGGUUACAUCUUACAUGUCAUGUUGAGACUUGUAUUGGGAUCAGGGAGUUGCCUGUGGCCUUUUGUGACAUUUUGGCUCAGAACUCUUUGUGGUCUACAGGUACUUUAGUGUCUCAAAGCCCAUACAAUGCAGGACCUUAAACGGCAGUAAGAAUGCACAUAAACCAUUACUUUCUCAGUAUGUAUUAAAAAAACAGAAACGAUACCAUUAGAUGCAAAAACGUACAAUUGAGAAUACAUUUUACCAGUUGAAUUGAAUGCUUCUGUAUUAGCUUUCAAUCGGAGCUUAGUUCUGUUGCUGAGAUAUAUUGUUUAAGUAGUCACUUCACCAAUUAGAUCGUAUUAAUCCAUUGAUCUCCACUCAAAUCUUUCUGUUUUAAAAAAAUGUAUUUGGGCAAAAAUUGUUCUCUAAUCUGCAUUU